GAUGAACGCUAGCUACAGGCUUAACACAUGCAAGUCGAGGGGCAGCAUGGUCUUAGCUUGCUAAGGCCGAUGGCGACCGGCGCACGGGUGAGUAACACGUAUCCAACCUGCCGUCUACUCUUGGACAGCCUUCUGAAAGGAAGAUUAAUACAAGAUGGCAUCAUGAGUCCGCAUGUUCACAUGAUUAAAGGUAUUCCGGUAGACGAUGGGGAUGCGUUCCAUUAGAUAGUAGGCGGGGUAACGGCCCACCUAGUCUUCGAUGGAUAGGGGUUCUGAGAGGAAGGUCCCCCACAUUGGAACUGAGACACGGUCCAAACUCCUACGGGAGGCAGCAGUGAGGAAUAUUGGUCAAUGGGCGAGAGCCUGAACCAGCCAAGUAGCGUGAAGGAUGACUGCCCUAUGGGUUGUAAACUUCUUUUAUAAAGGAAUAAAGUCGGGUAUGCAUACCCGUUUGCAUGUACUUUAUGAAUAAGGAUCGGCUAACUCCGUGCCAGCAGCCGCGGUAAUACGGAGGAUCCGAGCGUUAUCCGGAUUUAUUGGGUUUAAAGGGAGCGUAGAUGGAUGUUUAAGUCAGUUGUGAAAGUUUGCGGCUCAACCGUAAAAUUGCAGUUGAUACUGGAUAUCUUGAGUGCAGUUGAGGCAGGCGGAAUUCGUGGUGUAGCGGUGAAAUGCUUAGAUAUCACGAAGAACUCCGAUUGCGAAGGCAGCCUGCUAAGCUGCAACUGACAUUGAGGCUCGAAAGUGUGGGUAUCAAACAGGAUUAGAUACCCUGGUAGUCCACACGGUAAACGAUGAAUACUCGCUGUUUGCGAUAUACAGCAAGCGGCCAAGCGAAAGCGUUAAGUAUUCCACCUGGGGAGUACGCCGGCAACGGUGAAACUCAAAGGAAUUGAUGGGGGCCCGCACAAGCGGAGGAACAUGUGGUUUAAUUCGAUGAUACGCGAGGAACCUUACCCGGGCUUAAAGUGCAGGUGAAUUACGGUGAAAGCCGUAAGCCGCAAGGCAUCUGUGAAGGUGCUGCAUGGUUGUCGUCAGCUCGUGCCGUGAGGUGUCGGCUUAAGUGCCAUAACGAGCGCAACCCUUGUUGUCAGUUACUAACAGGUUCCGCUGAGGACUCUGACAAGACUGCCAUCGUAAGAUGUGAGGAAGGUGGGGAUGACGUCAAAUCAGCACGGCCCUUACGUCCGGGGCUACACACGUGUUACAAUGGGGGGUACAGAGGGCCGCUACCACGCGAGUGGAUGCCAAUCCCAAAAACCUCUCUCAGUUCGGACUGGAGUCUGCAACCCGACUCCACGAAGCUGGAUUCGCUAGUAAUCGCGCAUCAGCCACGGCGCGGUGAAUACGUUCCCGGGCCU
RNAcentral lists this ribosomal RNA (1358 nucleotides) under uncultured bacterium. RNAcentral describes it as "bacterial SSU rRNA". It matches the Rfam family "Bacterial small subunit ribosomal RNA", at positions 28 to 1381 of the family's 1533-position model. The record is from RNAcentral.